CCCUUAGAUGUCCGGGGCCGCACGCGCGCUACAAUGGAUGAAUCAACGCGUCAUCCUGGCCCGAAAGGGUUGGGGAACCGCUGAACCUCAUCCGUGGUUGGGAUUGGGGUUUGUAAUUAUUCCCCAUGAACUAGGAAUUCCCAGUAAGCGCGAGUCAUAAGCUCGCGUUGAUUACGUCCCUGCCCUUUGUACACACCGCCCGUCGCUACUACCGAUUGGAUGGUUUAGUGAGAUCCUCGGAUUGGUCACGGCACGGUGGCAACACCGCGUCGGUGUGCCGAGAAGACGAUCAAACUUGAUCAUCUAGAGGAAGUAAAAGUCGUAACA
RNAcentral lists this ribosomal RNA (327 nucleotides) under uncultured eukaryote. RNAcentral describes it as "partial 18S ribosomal RNA". It matches the Rfam family "Eukaryotic small subunit ribosomal RNA", at positions 1470 to 1796 of the family's 1831-position model. The record is from RNAcentral.